UACGAAGGGUGCAAGCGUUGUUCGGAAUUAUUGGGCGUAAAGCGCACGCAGGUGGCUGAGUCAGUCGAUUGUGAAAGCCCUGGGCUUAACCUGGGAAUUGCAGUCGAUACUACUCAGCUAGAGUAUGGGAGAGGACAGUGGAAUUCCCGGUGUAGCGGUGAAAUGCGUAGAUAUCGGGAGGAACAUCAGUGGCGAAGGCGGCUGUCUGGCCCAAUACUGACACUCAGGUGCGGCAGCGUGGGGAGCAAACAGG
This 253-nucleotide ribosomal RNA is filed under the name uncultured bacterium. RNAcentral describes it as "partial 16S ribosomal RNA". It matches the Rfam family "Bacterial small subunit ribosomal RNA", at positions 524 to 776 of the family's 1533-position model. The record is from RNAcentral.